UACAGAGGUCCCGAGCGUUGUUCGGAUUCACUGGGCGUAAAGGGCUCGUAGGCGGUUUGUCGCGUCGGGAGUGAAAUCCACUGGCUUAACUGGUGGCUUGCUUUCGAUACGGGCAGACUGGAGGUAUGCAGGGGAGAACGGAAUUCCUGGUGUAGCGGUGAAAUGCGCAGAUAUCAGGAGGAACACCGGUGGCGAAGGCGGUUCUCUGGGCAUGUCCUGACGCUGAGGAGCGAAAGUGUGGGGAGCGAACAGG
This 253-nucleotide ribosomal RNA is filed under the name uncultured bacterium. RNAcentral describes it as "partial 16S ribosomal RNA". It matches the Rfam family "Bacterial small subunit ribosomal RNA", at positions 524 to 776 of the family's 1533-position model. The record is from RNAcentral.